This 256-nucleotide long non-coding RNA is filed under the name Elaeis guineensis (African oil palm). RNAcentral describes it as "long non-coding RNA (EGUI_LNC017287)". Lineage: Eukaryota; Viridiplantae; Streptophyta; Magnoliopsida; Arecales; Arecaceae. The record is from RNAcentral.
GGCUGAAGAGUUUAUUGAUCUUUAUUUCUUCUAUAUUUUGGGUUCAAGAAUGUGUUGUCUGGCUUAUUCUCUAUUUAUCUCUUGCAUUACUUUAUUCUCAAUAGUUUUUCCAUAUAGUAGAUAGCUACAUUGCUCCUUCAAUUCAACAUAUUGUCAAAUCUCACCUUCUCCAUGGAUUUUCACUUCCCAUAAAAUAUGGGAAGUAUCUUUCCAUAGAAAGAUUUUUUUUUUUAUUCUAUCUUGUCUUAUAACUCCA